UUUCGAAAACAAGCUCAAUGAGAGCCUUCGGGGGUAGAUCUUUCUCAUGACGAGUGGUGAAUACUUUGACUCAUGAGAGAGAAGCUGAGGCGAAGGCGUCUACCUAGAGGGUUUCUGUCGAUCAAGGGCGAGAGUAGGAGUAUCCAACAGGAUUAGAGACCCUGGUAGUUCCUACCUUAAACGAUGCCGACAGGAGUUUGUCAUUUGUUAAUGGCAGAAUCUUUGGAGAAAUCAUAGUUCUUGGGCUCUGGGGGAACUACGACCGCAAGGCUGAAACUUGAAGGAAUGACGGAAGGGCACACCAGGGGUGGAGCCUGUGGCUUAAUUUGAAUCAACACGGGGAAACUUACCAGGACCAGAUGUUUUUUAUGACUGACAGGCUUCGGGUCUUUCAGGAUAUUGUUUUUGGUGGUGCAUGGCCGUUGGUGGUGCGUGGGUUGACCUGUCUAGCGUUGAUUCAGCUAACGAGCGAGAUUAUCGCCAAUUAUUUACUUUGCCGAAGUCCUUCGGUUAAAGUUCUAAUUGGGACUCCCUGCGAUUUUAGCAGGUGGAAGAGGGUAGCAAUAACAGGUCCGUGAUGCCCUUUAGAUGCUCUGGGCUGCACGCGUGCUACAAUGUUAGGAUCAAUAGGACUGCGAGCCUGAGAGGGUGCGCUACUCUUAUAAUCCCUAACGUAGUUGGGAUUGACGUUUGUAAUCAGCGUCAUGAACCAGGAAUCCCUUGUAAAUGUGUGUCAACAACGCACGUUGAAUACGUCCCUGCCCUUUGUACACACCGCCCGUCGCUCCUACCGAUUGGAUGACUCGGUGAAAUCACCGGAUGCUUACGAGCAGAAAGUGAUUAAAUCACGUUAUCUAGAGGAAGGAGAAGUCGUAACAAGGUAACGGUAGGUGAACCUGCCGUUGGAUCAGUU
Molecule: non-coding RNA, 913 nt
Organism: Trichomonas vaginalis G3
Lineage: Eukaryota; Parabasalia; Trichomonadida; Trichomonadidae
Source: Rfam